ACGGGGGGAGCAAGCGUUGUUCGGAAUCACUGGGCGUAAAGGGCGUGUAGGCGGUCAGGUAAGUGGAAUGUGAAAGCCCCCGGCUCACCCGGGGAUCUGCAUCCCAUACUGCCUGGCUUGAGUACGGGAGAGGAUAGGGGAAUUCCUGGUGUAGCGGUGAAAUGCGUAGAUAUCAGGAGGAACACCGGUGGCGAAGGCGCCUAUCUGGCCCGAUACUGACGCUGAGGCGCGAAAGCUAGGGGAGCAAGCGGGA
Molecule: ribosomal RNA, 253 nt
Filed under: uncultured prokaryote
Description: partial 16S ribosomal RNA
Rfam family: Bacterial small subunit ribosomal RNA
Source: RNAcentral